Molecule: ribosomal RNA, 493 nt
Filed under: uncultured bacterium
Lineage: Bacteria
Description: partial 16S ribosomal RNA
Rfam family: Bacterial small subunit ribosomal RNA
Source: RNAcentral
GACGAACGCUGGCGGCGUGCUUAACACAUGCAAGUCGAACGGUGAAGGGACCGGUUUUUGCUGGUUCUGGAUGAGUGGCGAACGGGUGAGUAACACGUGAGUAACCUGCCCCCUUCUUCUGGAUAACCGCAUGAAAGUGUGGCUAAUACGGGAUAUUCUGCGCCUGCUGCAUGGUGGGUGUGGGAAAGAUAUUGUUUCGGUGGGGGAUGGGCUCGCGGCCUAUCAGCUUGUUGGUGGGGUGAUGGCCUACCAAGGCGGUGACGGGUAGCCGGCCUGAGAGGGUGGACGGUCACACUGGGACUGAGACACGGCCCAGACUCCUACGGGAGGCAGCAGUGGGGAAUAUUGCACAAUGGGCGCAAGCCUGAUGCAGCGACGCCGCGUGAGGGAUGGAGGCCUUCGGGUUGUAAACCUCUUUCGCCAGUGAAGCAGGCCUGUCCCUUUUGUGGGUGGGUUGACGGUGGCUGGAUAAGAAGCGCCGGCUAACUACGUG